Long non-coding RNA from Ictalurus punctatus (channel catfish), 5180 nucleotides. RefSeq lists it as uncharacterized. The transcript is spliced from 2 exons. The record is from RefSeq and is a predicted model, not a curated record. NCBI's taxonomy places the organism in Eukaryota, Metazoa, Chordata, Actinopteri, Siluriformes, Ictaluridae.
AAAAAAUAUAUCUUUUAUUUAAAAAAAAUUGUAUGAGUUGCAUUUUUAAGCUAUAAUAUUUGUGAUUUUAUGUGAAACUAUUAUAAACAGGUCACUCAAGCGAAUUAAUGAUGUAGAUAAUGACUGAAUCCUACUCUAUGGACCCUUAGUCUCUGUAUAAGAGGAUUUCAUUGGGGAUGAAGUAAUAGAUUUAAACUCUAUGUAGAGCGCUCUCUCGUGGCUCCACCCACCACGCACGUUCGAACCAAUCAUAUUAUCCUCCCUGGCGUCCAUGGGCGUGGCUAACCGCGUCGGUCUGUUAAAGGUAGCAGGUUGUACAUGGCGAGCGGGUUACUCACUGAGGGCUGGUGAUUGGUGUAAUGGAAGCAGUCUCUGAACCGCAUUUAAUGACGGAGAACUACAGGAGUGGAGAGAAAACGCAGCACUGAGCAACUUGUAGACUUCACACCCGACUGUAGGUGGCUAGGUGAACGCGUUUGGCCUUAUUUAUUCGCUAAGCUGCUAGCUUGUUAGCUCUGCGGCUGUUUUAGUAUAAAGUACUAACUUGAGUUAACUCGGUGGGAGUUUAUUUAGCGCCGGAUAAACGGUGAACUAGUUAGUUUAGUAAAUCUGACGCUUCUCGGGAACUUGUAGUUUAUUCGCCUCGCUGUCUGGGUGACGCAGAGAGCAACUGUUUACCAAGUGACUUUAAUUUCAGUGCUUUUUGAACUGUCUCUCAGCCCUAAAUAGUUCCGCGGUAUUUGUGUGGAAUUGGGAUGAACGUCUAGUUAAAGGGUUGAUGUCUCGCUGGCGCAGUGAUUUGUUCUUUAGGAGUGUUUUUCUCUUGAACAGCGCUCUGUGUGGAGACCUUGAGGUAGUUCUGUAGUCACAGGUGCACAAAUCAGUCACACAGCUCCAGCUCCACCUGCGCCUCUCGCAGGGAAACGGGUUCUGUGCACUGGCUCCGUCCCAAAUCACCUUGUAUGGAAUCUCUAUCUCUAGUGCACUAGGUGCGGUAGAGACUCCAUUCGUUCAGACCGUGUGUAGUGUACCUAGAUACGCAGUCGUGCAGGAUUUGGGCACAGGCCACGCUAAUGAAACAUCAUCCAUUUCAAGUCAAGUUGCUAUUGUUAAACUUUUCACUAAAUCCUGUAUGGAAACGUUGCUGUUCAGUUGUUCUAUAAGCGCAAUUUCUACCAAAUACAGUGGAGUGUAAACGUUUGUACCCCCUUUUGGUUUCUUUUGGACGGAAGGGUGUUAAAUGUCCUAAACACUACAUAAUUUGACUGUAAGUAGAAGUUAAUUUUAUUAUCAGACUCGGAUAUUCAUGUUAAUAUUUUUAAUACUGCUCAUUAGUGUUAAAUGACUUGAAAGAGUCAACACAUGGGAUGGUCAUGGCAGGGUCUUGAUUUUGUGGUCAGUAAACCGUUUUUGUGUUGAUUUUGAUGUAUGUUUUGGAUCACUGUCCUGCUGGAAGAUCCAGCCACGGCCCAUUUGAAUCUUUCUGGCAGAGGCAGUCAGGUUUUCAUUUAAUAUCUGUUGAUAUUUGAUAUUAGAGCUGGAUGAUAUGGCCAAAAUAUAUAUCACGAUAUAUCUCUUAAUUUCAGUUGAUAUGAUAUAAUUCCGAUAACGAUAUGAACAAUAUAAAUCCUCAGAAAAACUGCCAAGGACGCCCACAACAGAUGUCUGUACCUUCAAACUUCUGUAAACUUCUCCUCCUAUAAAACUAUAUAAUAACUUAGAAAUAAAAAUGGCACAAAUAUAUGAAUGUUCACCUUUAAUUUUAAUUUAACCUUCAUACAAACACAGUGUGAAAUCACCAUCAAAUAAACACAAAACUCUCACCUUUGUCAAUAUUAAUAUCUUUCACUUUAAACUACAACAUAGGCUGAUUAUUUUAUUCUUAUAAAUUGAAUUAAAAGUGCUUCAGCCAGGAUAAAAAAAAUAUGAAAAAUAUUCAGAGUUGCUGAAGAAAACAGAAAAAGUGUGAGCAAUAACAAGAACACAUGUUGCUGGGGCAGGGACAUUGUUGGGGGUUGAUGACUGUAGGUCCAAAUUUUGCCUAUUACCUGAAGACACUUAACAUAGAAACAGAUACUCACAUAUUCAAUUGGAGAAAGAAAAAUAAGACACCAGCCGUGAGUGAGAAGAAGCAAGGGUCCAGGUUUAUUCGUUCCGUUCCACCACACAAGGUCCACACAGUUUGAGACGUCCCAAAAUGCGAUCUAAAAAAAAACAGAGCUGAAGCUCUUCUAUUUAUACAGUUUUCUUAGGGUCAGGAUGACCCAGACACCAAUGUGUUUUAGAAAGAGCUUAUCAAAAUUACCAUUCUGUUUUAGAAAGAGCCCUCCCCGAACACCAUUCGGUUUUCGAAAGAGCCUUCCCAUAAUACCAAUAGGUACGAGACUCAACAUUUCGGAGAGACCUUGGUCUCACGGUGUCCGCUGUUCCCAUCGACAGUUAUCUUGCGGCCCUAGCCAUUCCCAUCGACCGUUAUCUCCCGGCCCUAGCUGUUCCCAUAGACGGUUGUCUCACAAGUGCAACUUGGCUCAACUACCCUUAUAAACGGCCCAUCUUGGUUCUCUCUUAAAAAUUAAGGCCUUCGUCUGUGUUACUCCUGACUUUUUCUCGUGAGAAAAGAAUCCUCCACACCUUCAAGUGCAUUAUGAGUAAGUUUCUUUCAUAUUUUUCUGUAUUUCUGUUUUAUAAUGCUUUUUUUCUUUUCAUAUUUGCUCUACAUUUCUGUUUUAUAUCUGGUUAUACUGCUUGCAAGUAUUUUACCCCCUUUUCUGUACCCCAUACUUCACAAUAUCAUUAUAAUAUCCUUAUAAUAUCCUAAUACUCCUUUUAUUAUUCUUAUAAUGUUCUGUUUUCCGUGUGUGUGUGUCUUAGUUGACCGUCCACCUACGCUCUGAGGCCUGCCACACUAAUCAAAUACAUGUAUUGUUAUCCCCCUGUGCCUUGCUUAUCUGUGUGUUGUGUCUUAGGUGAACAUCUGUUUAUACAGUCCACCAGCCCAGUGAAUUCUCAAUAAGAUUACAUAUUACUCAUACUAGGUCUCCCUCGUGUUUAUUUCAUGUAUAUUUUAUAUACAACACUACACUCACAUAAUGUGGCUUCAAUUCCUGUUGAAAAUAUCAUAAUUAUGAGGUGAAUGAACAUGAAAGUAUAACUAGGACUCAUAUUUUUAUAUGAGCCCUGACUUUAUGAACUGAGAGUAAGUUAAAAAAAAAAAAAAAAGUAAAGGCAGCCCCCACAAUGAAUGUGCCACCUACAGCAGACAGUAAAAUUUAAGUGGUACUUUUGCUUGUUAACUAAGAACUACAGCUCGAUAUUUUUCUUCAGUAAGUAAAAAAUAAACUUCUUGUUGAUGAAAUUGCAAAACAAAUAAAUAAAUAAAAGAAAAUGUCUCACGCUGUCAAUUUUACUUCCAAAACCUGUUGAACACACCAAAUCAUAAUGACCAUCUCCGAUAUUGUGUGCACAAACUUCUGAGGAGGACUUGAAGGCAGCAAUAAAUGAUGUCACAUGAUUUAUUAACAACAAACAGAUAAAAACAAUAAAGUGUCCAUGUUCUCCUGGACUGUUGAAUAAGGAACAACCCAGCCCCACUUGCCCCCAUCAUCCUGUGUGACUCCCCAGUUGAUACUGUGCACUCCUGCCGCUUCCUGGGAACUAUCAUCACCCAGGACCUCAAGUGGGAGCUGAACAUCAGGUCUCUCAUUAAAAAAAUCAGAGUGUACUUCUUGUGGCAACUGAAGUUCAACCUACCAAAGACAAUUAUGGUGCACUUCUAUACCUCCAUCAUCAGUAUGGUGAGUCCAUACUCACCUCCUCAAUCACCAUCUAGUACACUGCUGCCACUGAAAAAGGACAAGGACAGACUGCAGCAUGUCAUUCGCUCUGCUGAGAAGGUCAUUGGCUGCAAUCUGCCACCCCUUCAUUAUCUGUGCACUUCCGGGAUUAUGGCUGACCCCUCUCACGCUGGACACAAACUUUUCCAGGCACUCCCCUCUGGCAAUAGGCUGCAGUCCAUCAAGUCCAAAAACCCAUGCCACAAAAACAGUUUCUUCCCAUCGAAAAUGGCCUCAUUAACAACACUGAAGGCCCACCAUGGUCUCUUAUUCGCCUCCAUGAACAUUUACACAUCACAUUAACGAACAACCCCACAUUGUUGUUUCAUAUGCGUUACAUUAACACACAACUCAGACUGCUGUGUACAACACAUACUGUACUAAUGUACAGUUAAUGUCUUUAUUUUUAUUUUCCUAAACCUUCCAAAACAUAACUUCCUAACUCUCUCUUAUUAAUAUUAUAUUACUUCUUGUAUGUACUGUUAUUGUUAAGCGGCAGUACACCAAGACAAAUUCCUUGUACAUGUAAACCCACCAUACUUGACAAUAAAUCUGAUUCUGAUUCCCAACAAACAUCACUGCGAAAGACCGUUCAAAACUGUCAUGCACUUACAAAUUUCACCAAUUCAAGUAGGUUUCCACAAAAAAGUACAAUAAACUCCACAAGUUGCAUCGCACAUUUUGAGAUCAUGCAUUUAUGGCUGCAAAAAUCAGAAAAAAACUGGAAAUCCUGUAAGGACUGAUAUUGAAUCUUGCUACUUUGGAUUUCGUGGAAUUUCAGAGUAAUGAGGUCUAAAGCUGACAUCCAAAAUGUGUUUUAAAACAUGUUCUGUAAUGUGUUCUCCACAGUAAACACCUUACUGAACAUUCUUUCCCACGAGUACAGGCAGGCACAUAUCCAUCAUGGAGCUUCCGGGAAGUGUGAUGAUCAUUCCCCAGGAUACCAUGACUGGUGUAGUUAAAGGCAGCAGAGUGCAGCAGCACCAUGUCAUUGAAAGCUGGAAAAGCCUUUACCUCUACAAACAGUUUGUUACUCAAUGUGAGAAAGAGGUGGCUGCAUCGACAAAGUGCACCGAGGCUGGGGUGCUAGUCAGGCAUGGAGUUUAUGGAAACAUGCUAACGUUAUACCUUAACAGCAGCGCACCCCUCACUCACGUACUCCAGUUUUAAUUGAAGGUUCACAUUUCAAAUUCCUGUUGGAAUCUUUCUGACCAUGUUCAUGUACAGUUUGUAUAAGAUUUAGUUCCACUUAUUCCUACUGAUUAUUGUGAAAUGUUUAACAGAGGUACAGUAUAUUUUGAGAUGUUUACAUAACCUUUGAAAAUAAAUUAUUGGUUUUAAAUUUGC